AUGCGUANNNAUAUNAUGCAAGUCGAGCGAAUGGAUUAAGAGCUUGCUCUUAUGAAGUUAGCGGCGGACGGGUGAGUAACACGUGGGUAACCUGCCCAUAAGNCUGGNAUANCUCCNUAAAACCGGGGCUAAUACCGGAUAACAUUUUGAACCGCAUGGUUCGAAAUUGAAAGGCGGCUUCGGCUGUCACUUAUGGAUGGACCCGCGUCGCAUUAGCUAGUUGGUGAGGUAACGGCUCACCAAGGCAACGAUGCGUAGCCGACCUGAGAGGGUGAUCGGCCACACUGGGACUGAGACACGGCCCAGACUCCUACGGGAGGCAGCAGUAGGGAAUCUUCCGCAAUGGACGAAAGUCUGACGGAGCAACGCCGCGUGAGUGAUGAAGGCUUUCGGGUCGUAAAACUCUGUUGUUAGGGAAGAACAAGUGCUAGUUGAAUAAGCUGGCACCUUGACGGUACCUAACCAGAAAGCCACGGCUAACUACGUGCCAGCAGCCGCGGUAAUACGUAGGUGGCAAGCGUUAUCCGGAAUUAUUGGGCGUAAAGCGCGCGCAGGUGGUUUCUUAAGUCUGAUGUGAAAGCCCACGGCUCAACCGUGGAGGGUCAUUGGAAACUGGGAGACUUGAGUGCAGAAGAGGAAAGUGGAAUUCCAUGUGUAGCGGUGAAAUGCGUANAGAUAUGGAGGAACACCAGUGGCGAAGGCGACUUUCUGGUCUGUAACUGACACUGAGGCGCGAAAGCGUGGGGAGCAAACAGGGAUUAGAUACCCUGGUAGUCCACGCCGUAAACGAUGAGUGCUAAGUGUUANAGGGNUUUCCGCCCUUUUAGUGCUGAAAGUUAACNCAUUAANNCACUCCNCCCUGGGGAGUACNGGCCGCNANGGCUGAAACUCAAAGGAAUUGACCGGGGGCCCCNCCCAAACCGGUGGAGCAUGUGGUUUUAANUUC
RNAcentral lists this ribosomal RNA (946 nucleotides) under Bacillus cereus. Its description in RNAcentral is "partial 16S ribosomal RNA". It matches the Rfam family "Bacterial small subunit ribosomal RNA", at positions 42 to 953 of the family's 1533-position model. The record is from RNAcentral. Lineage: Bacteria; Bacillati; Bacillota; Bacilli; Caryophanales; Bacillaceae.